Molecule: unclassified non-coding RNA, 148 nt
Organism: Macaca mulatta (Rhesus monkey)
Lineage: Eukaryota; Metazoa; Chordata; Mammalia; Primates; Cercopithecidae
Rfam family: Metazoan signal recognition particle RNA
About the family: The signal recognition particle (SRP) is a universally conserved ribonucleoprotein. It is involved in the co-translational targeting of proteins to membranes. The eukaryotic SRP consists of a 300-nucleotide 7S RNA and six proteins: SRPs 72, 68, 54, 19, 14, and 9.
Source: Ensembl
GCUGGGCAUGGUGGUGCAUGCCUGUAAUCCCAGCUACUUGGGAGGCUGAGGCAGGAGAAUCGCUUGAACCCAGGAGGCAGAGGUUGCAGUGGACCAAGAUCGUGCCACUGAACUGCAGCCUGAGUACCAUGGCAAGAUCCCAUCUCUA